CCUACGGGCGGCAGCAGUGGGGAAUAUUGCACAAUGGGGGAAACCCUGAUGCAGCGACGCCGCGUGAGUGAGGAAGUCAUUCGUUAUGUAAAGCUCUAUCAGCAGGGAAGAAAAUGACGGUACCUGAGUAAGACUCCCCGGCUAACUACGUGCCAGCAGCCGCGGUAAUACGUAGGGGGCAAGCGUUAUCCGGAUUUACUGGGUGUAAGGGGAGCGUAGACGGCAGUGCAAGUCUGGAGUGAAAGGCGGGGGCUCAACCCCCGGACUGCUCUGGAAACUGUACGGCUGGAGUGCAGGAGAGGUAAGUGGAAUUCCUAGUGUAGCGGUGAAAUGCGUAGAUAUCACGAAGAACUCCGAUUGCGAAGGCAGUUCACUGGACUGCAACUGACACUGAUGCGCGAAAGCGUGGGGAGCAAACAGGAUUAGAUACCCCAGUAGUC
RNAcentral lists this ribosomal RNA (440 nucleotides) under uncultured bacterium. RNAcentral describes it as "partial 16S ribosomal RNA". It matches the Rfam family "Bacterial small subunit ribosomal RNA", at positions 338 to 795 of the family's 1533-position model. The record is from RNAcentral.